CACUGUAAUGUAAGCUGCUGCCAUCUAUGAGCAGACAGUAGAAAGUUUCCAUGAAGUAUUGAUCGAAGCAUGGCCACAGAACAGAUAUGUAUAGUGGCAUGGCUGGCAUAGCGUCGGCCUCCAAUUGAGUCCAUCAGUCCAAUAAAAAGAUUGAUCCUGGAAAACAGGAGAUUUCUGCAGCAGAGAUUCUGGAUUGCAUCGAAAAUGGUAAUCUAUAUAUCUGAGCUGAAGGAUUUCCUCAGUGUUGAUGAGGAAGAGCAAGAGGAUACCAUCCUUCCUCAGACUGCCAAUCGAUUUCAAGGAGUGGGAGCUGAAACAACAGGCCAGGAAGAAGACAACCACAUGAAUGAGAACAAGGACAUUGGGCUUGCAAUUCAUCUAUGAAUCCAGUUUUAUAUGCAUUCUCCAGCCGGAAACAAUGAAUUUGAUGAUUCCAUCUAUUUAUAUGUAUUUAUGUAUUAUAUAUGAGAUUCAGGGAUAAUAAUCUUCUAAUUUCAUCUUAUUGAGCUUCACUAGCCUGAAUCCAUAUUUUAGAAUAAAUUCCUCUGAAGAAGAAAUUGUACUUAGUAAAUCAAUCAGACUGGUAGAGCCCUGUAAUAUUGUAUAGAGUGUGGCAUCAAAACUUAAUAAAAACUUGACUAUAAAAUCACUUUUAUAAUUA
This is a long non-coding RNA of Nilaparvata lugens (brown planthopper), 661 nucleotides long. RefSeq lists it as uncharacterized. NCBI's taxonomy places the organism in Eukaryota, Metazoa, Arthropoda, Insecta, Hemiptera, Delphacidae. The record is from RefSeq and is a predicted model, not a curated record. The transcript is spliced from 2 exons.